GCCGGACACGGUGGCGCGCGCCUGUAGUCCCAGCUACUCGGGAGGCUGAGAUGGGAGGAUCGCUUGAGCCCAGGAGUUCUGGGCUGUAGUGCGCUAUGCCGAUCGGGUGUCCGCACUAAGUUCGGCAUCAAUAUGGUGACCUCCCGGGAGCGGGGGACCACCAGGUUGCCUAAGGAGGGGUGAACCGGCCCAGGUCGGAAACGGAGCAGGUCAAAACUCCCGUGCUGAUCAGUAGUGGGAUCGCGCCUGUGAAUAGCCACUGCACUCCAGCCUGGGCAACAUAGCAAGACCCCGUCUCUU
Molecule: unclassified non-coding RNA, 300 nt
Organism: Microcebus murinus (gray mouse lemur)
Lineage: Eukaryota; Metazoa; Chordata; Mammalia; Primates; Cheirogaleidae
Rfam family: Metazoan signal recognition particle RNA
About the family: The signal recognition particle (SRP) is a universally conserved ribonucleoprotein. It is involved in the co-translational targeting of proteins to membranes.
Source: Ensembl